CAGGAGCCUGCACUUUUCAAUAUUCAUUUAUUGUCUUGGACAAGGAAGUAGAAAACAGUGUAAUUGAGUUUAUAAAAGACUGCUAAAUGCGGAGUGCAGUUGGUCUGUGUAAUGGUAGGACUGCUGUUCAGAAAGAGCUGGAGGGGUGGUCCACAGUGAACCACAUGAAGUUCUGCAGGGCAACAAGGUGUCUUGUGCUAGGAUGAGUGGACUAAGACUCUGCAGUGGUGUAGGCUGACUGCCUGGCAAGAGAGUAGCUCUGCUAAAAGGAAUCUGUUUUUAAGAACAGUGUGCUGAAACAUGAAUCUAUACUGCUCCCUGGCAGCAAAGAAGACUAAUAACAUCCUAGGCUGUUCGAGGAGAACUUGAGCCAGUAAGUUAAAGGAAGUGAUUAUUUUCCAUUACUUGCCACUUGGUAGAUGAUAUGUGCUAUCCCCUAGAGCUGGAGAAGUGCUGAUAAAUGUGAGCAAAUUGAGCAUAGUGCCACCAGCAUGGUCAAUGACUAGAACAAAAUUCAUUUUGUGAAGCAGACCAUAAGGAGAGUGUGGGAGGUGAAUGCUUAUUCCACGGUGGGGUUGUUUGUGGGAAUAAGUGUUAGCUGUUGAUGUUGGCAGUACGGUAAGCUGUAGCUGUGACCUCACUCUUAAGUGCUGGUCUGUACUUGGAAUCUGAGUGGCUGUGGGCUUGGUAACUGUAGCUGUCUUCUGCUCUCUCUUUAGACACUGUUCAAAAGGAGUUCAGUAGCUUUGUGGCCAGGUGUGAAGAUGACAGCGUUGAAAAUGAAGGAGAAUCUUAGCUCAUAAAUAAUUGCCUUGUGAACCAAAUGGCAGUUUGACCAAUGGAAGAGAAUUCAGUAGUGGAAGAGCAGCUAUCUGUUCUGUUGGAAGCAUUCCAGAAGCAUUAAAAUUGUCCAUAAAGUGAUGUUUUGAAGACUAGUCCAGCUGUUUCCAGAGCCUACUUUUCAUUCCUCAGAGUGGACGGCCUCCUUUUUGAAUGUUGCUGCAUGGAGGAACUCAGUGCUCCAGACAAGUAUUCUCAAACAUAGCUAUCUGCUGGAGUCAGAAGAAGACUGGCAAACUAUGAUCAUCUCCUGCUGGUGGUUGACUUCAAGAUAAAGCUGUGGUUUGGUUUGCUCUUAGAUCCGAACAGAGCUGCUGCUGCUGUUAAGACUGUUUUAUUUUUCCUGAACUUUUGAUAUUUCUGGGGAGAGGGUUUAUUUUAUGUCUUAGCUGCUGCUUCACAUUAUGCUAAGAGACCCCUAACCCACCCAUUUCUAAAGAAGAGUAAUAUGGUUUUAGGUUGCUCAUGUCUGGAAAGAGAACUUGAAAACUGAGCUCAUAAAUACAAUGAAGCUCAAAAAGAAUCAAAGAGAAAAGAAUACCAUGUAUUAAUGUUUUCAAAACAACAAGCUGUGGAGUAUGAAUUCUGCUUGCUGUUUUGUUUAUGGAAGCUAGAAUGCCAUUUCAUUUGGUUUUGAAAGUUGUGUAUGAGAAGAUUGAUAAAGGUUUGAUAGUGAUAACAAGAAAUCAGAAAAUUUUCCUUUGUCUUCCUCGUUGGACUGAUUCUUGCUUGCAAGGCAGGAUUCAAAUUCUCCUCUGUGUAAUAGAUUAGGAAUGCCCAUGCCCUCAGUAUUACUCAGACUUCAAACUGAAAUUGGAUAGGAAUGGAAGGGAUUCUGGCAUAUUGCCAAUUCUUGUUAUACUACCUUGGCUUUAUGAAAUAUUUCAGCCAAAUAGUUGAUUAUUUAAACAUCUGAACCAUUCCCAUGCAAAUAGAGUCUGUUCUUGGUACCUGUGGUUAUUUUAAUGAAUCAGUUCUGAGUGGUACAGUGUUAAGGCAUGUUUAUGAAUAACAUAGUGAGAAGACUAGUAACAGAGAAGAACUCGUAGCACUAUUAGAAAUGAUAGGAAAAUACGAGGUUAGAUGGAACACGAGGUUAGGUAGUCCAAACUCCUACUUAAACCAAGGUCAACACUGAAAUGGGACUCUGCUUUACCUACUUUGGUUUUGAAAACCCUCAAAGAUGGAGACUGGACAGACUCUCUGGCAAUCUCUUUUAUUGUCUGACUGCUUUAAUGUUGAAAAUCUUUCCGGUCUGAAUCAUUGCUGUUUCAACUUCAUGUCUGUUAUCUCUCGUCUUCUCACCAGGUACCAUUAUAAAGAACGUGUCUCCAUCUUCUUGAUGAUCAUCUUGUAGGUAUAGGAAGGCUGCUGCUGGUUACCACCCCCAAAGAAUUUUCUUUUCCAGAUGUGAACAAACACAGUGUCCAGAGUGUCUCCUUACAAUGCCAUUGCUCUAACCCUCUGACCAUCUUCGUGGUUCUUCACUGAAAUUGCUCCAGUUGACUGAUGUAUCUGUCUUCUUGAAAGGGUACAAAAUCAGGAGCGGUUUUAUAAAUGGGCGCUAAUUUAAUUCUGAGUAGAGGAGGAUAAUUAUGGAAUCAUAGAAUAUCCUAACUUGGAAGGGACCCAAAUCUCUGACUCCAACUCCUGCCUCUCCACAACUUAGGGGUUAAACUGUGUAUCUUAAGAACAUUGUCCAAUGACAGACCCCAUUAAGGCUACCCUACAUGGUGCUAGUGAGUCUUUUGGUUUGCCGUGGCUGCUCUCUGUUGCCAGGAAAAAUGUGGAGACCCAGACAGAGGUCCCACAACAACAUGCUAGUGCACAGGUCUGUGUUUGCAGUGAGUGCCAGAGCCUGGCCCUUGCAGCAUGGGGCGACAGAGAUAGCAUUUGUGUUAGAUGCAACCAGCUGAAUGAUUUACUUAGCUCAGUAGUUGACCUGAAGGAGCUGGUGGAGAAGCUGAGGAGCAUUAGGGAGUGUGAGAGGGAGACAGAUUGGUAAUGCCAGUCCCUGCCAACCCUGAGAUCUAGGCAUCCAGCUGAGGCUCCAGAUGAAGCACAUCACCCCCUACUGCCUUGCAAACAGGUAAUAGCAGGAGACCAUCAGGCAGUCAGUGUUCCUGCUACAGUGAGCUCUUGUCUUUUCCUCCUCCUAACAAAAAUGAUGAUGAACUGGGGGCAGGGGGCAAUAGCAAAAGGUCCAUGCUCAGUGAUGCAGACACACCUUCCCAACAGUUCCCCCACCUCCCCAGCUGCCCCUGCAGAACAGGUUACAGUGCUCUUCAGGGCCAAUUGGACAGUGGUGGGGAUGAUAGUUCUUCCUGCUUAGGGGUGUCAUCGAAGUCUAGCAAGACUACCCUUAACAUUAAAACCUUCUCAGUAAAGAAAAAAAGAUGGGUCGUUGGUGGUGGUGAAGCACUGCUGAAGGGAGCAGAAGGCCCAAUAUGCAGACCAGACUCACUGCACAGGCAGGUCUGCUGCCUCCAGGGGUUCAGGUUAAAGAUGGAAGGGAGAAACUUCCUUUCUUAGUAUGGUCCUCAGAUUAUUAUCCCCUAUUGUUGUUUCAGGUAGGCAGGGAUGAAAUGGGAAGGACUUCCCUAAGGACUAUUAAGAAGCACUUCAGAGCCUUAGGGCAGCUGGUCAGGGGUUCAGGAGCACAAAUGUUCUCCUCUAUCCCUCCAGUUAUAGGGAAUGAUGAGGGACUCAACACGAUGGGCCAACAGAUGAAUUCUUGGCUCUGAGCCUGAUGUGCCCAGCAGGGAUUUGGGUUUUUUGGCCUUGGCUCAACUUACAAUAGACCAGGCCUGCUGGUAAUCAAUGAGAAUAGCUUAUCCGACUGGUGGAAAGGGGUUUUAUGAUGGGAGUUGGCAAGGUUCAUUGAUAGAGCUUUAAACUAGGUAUGAAGGGAGAUGGGGGUGAAACCAGGGUCACUGGAAAGGAGCCUGUAUGUUACAUGCCAGUGCUUGUUGGAGGGAGAUGUGCUAGUAAGAUCUUAUAGUCUUGUGUCUUGGUGAAGGAGAACAAAAAACCUUUUUGUAGGAAGAAUACAAGGGUUGGUGUGAGGCUAGUUGCUACAGAAACACGUAAGUAUGGUCAAGAGUGUUAGGGCUUUUCCCACUCAAAAGGUGGCUCAGCUUCAGUGCGUUUAGACU
Molecule: non-coding RNA, 3995 nt
Organism: Meleagris gallopavo (turkey)
Lineage: Eukaryota; Metazoa; Chordata; Aves; Galliformes; Phasianidae
Source: RefSeq, a predicted model, not a curated record